AACCAGCUCUGUGAACUGCUCUCCAAUGAGAGAGGUGUAACUGCAGCCUACCAUGUACAAACCAAUGGUCUGGAUGAGAAAACCAAAGACAACAUCAAACAAGCACUUGGAAAGCUUGUGAAUAUGAAGCAGGAUGAUUGGGACAUAUACCUUGAUGCAACACUUUUUUCACUCCGCUGAAAAGUACACACCACCGCUAAAUUCUCUCCAUUUUUCUUGAUGUAUGGGAGAAAAGCAAGAUUCCCUUCAGAAGUGCCUGUUGAAAUGCUGCUGUCUUCAAUAACACUCCCUGAAGACUGCAGUGCAUUCAUUGAGAAAAAACGGGAAGCUCAACAUGGCACAAGAAAAAAGGUUGAGGAAAAUACCACGCAUUCACAACAAAAAAUGGCAGAAGUAUUUUAAAAAAGG
This is a long non-coding RNA of Sphaeramia orbicularis (orbiculate cardinalfish), 408 nucleotides long. RefSeq lists it as uncharacterized. The transcript has 3 exons. Lineage: Eukaryota; Metazoa; Chordata; Actinopteri; Kurtiformes; Apogonidae. The record is from RefSeq and is a predicted model, not a curated record.